CCUACGGGGCGCAGCAGUGAGGAAUAUUGGUCAAUGGGCGUAAGCCUGAACCAGCCACGUCGCGUGAGGGAUGAAGGUUCUCUGGAUCGUAAGCCUCUUUUAUAAGGGAAUAAAGUGCGGGACGUGUCCAGUUUUGUAUGUACCUUAUGAUGACAGAUCGGCUAACUCCGUGCAGGCAGCCGCGGUAAUACGGAGGAUCCGGGCGUUAUCCGGAUUUAGUGGGUUUAAGGGGUGCGAUGGCGGCCUUGUAAGUCAGCGGUGAAAGUCUGUGGCUCAACCAUAGAAUUGCCGUUGAAACUGGGAGGCGUGAGUAUGUGUGAGGCAGGCGGAAUGCGUGGUGUAGCGGUGAAAUGCUUAGAUAUCACGCAGAACCCCGAUUGCGAAGGCAGCCUGCCAAGCCAUGACUGACGCUGAUGCACGAAAGCGUGGGGAUCAAACAGGAUUAGAUACCCGGGUAGUC
This 460-nucleotide ribosomal RNA is filed under the name uncultured bacterium. Its description in RNAcentral is "partial 16S ribosomal RNA". It matches the Rfam family "Bacterial small subunit ribosomal RNA", at positions 338 to 795 of the family's 1533-position model. The record is from RNAcentral.